AUUGAACGCUGGCGGCAGGCCUAACACAUGCAAGUCGAGCGGUAGCACAGAGAGCUUGCUCUCGGGUGACGAGCGGCGGACGGGUGAGUAAUGUCUGGGAAACUGCCUGAUGGAGGGGGAUAACUACUGGAAACGGUAGCUAAUACCGCAUAACGUCGCAAGACCAAAGAGGGGGACCUUCGGGCCUCUUGCCAUCAGAUGUGCCCAGAUGGGAUUAGCUAGUAGGUGGGGUAACGGCUCACCUAGGCGACGAUCCCUAGCUGGUCUGAGAGGAUGACCAGCCACACUGGAACUGAGACACGGUCCAGACUCCUACGGGAGGCAGCAGUGGGGAAUAUUGCACAAUGGGCGCAAGCCUGAUGCAGCCAUGCCGCGUGUAUGAAGAAGGCCUUCGGGUUGUAAAGUACUUUCAGCGGGGAGGAAGGUGUUGAGGUUAAUAACCUCAGCAAUUGACGUUACCCGCAGAAGAAGCACCGGCCAACUCCGUGCCAGCCGCCGCAGUAA
This 504-nucleotide ribosomal RNA is filed under the name uncultured bacterium. RNAcentral's name for it is "partial 16S ribosomal RNA". It matches the Rfam family "Bacterial small subunit ribosomal RNA", at positions 30 to 523 of the family's 1533-position model. The record is from RNAcentral.